AUCACAGAAUGGCCUGGCACGGUGACCACGGAGUGCCCUGGCACCGGUGCCCGCGGCUGUGACGGAAAAAGGGUGGGAAGAACAGGGAAGAGGAAGCAGAAACAGGUUAUCUGUUCACUCUGAUGGUAGAGAAGACCUUAAAUGACCUGAUGGAGCUGAAAACCAUGGCGAGAACUUCCUGCCUUCGAUUUCUCACAAGCUCGGGCAUACCACGAGGCUUGGAGACUCAAAACCUGAAGAGCCUGCAAUCAGAUUUCUCCCUUACUAUUCCUGCUCAUUGUCUUCUGUGGACUAAUACUGAACAUGAAACUUUGCUUACAGUUUUGUGGCCUGUUCCUUUCCUCUGAUUGCUGAUCAUUGCAUGAAUUUCCUGAGAUUAUCACUGAAUAGGACCUUUCUUUUUCCUGUAUCCUCUACUACACACACUGAGUUCAAAUAGAAUUAUUUUACUUGGAAAACUCCAGGUUUUGCUAAGUUCCAGCCUUGGUUUGUGUAGCACUGGUUGGCUGCCUUAGACUAAUUUUUUGGGGGUGUCAGAUAGUAAAAGGAGCACAAUCAAGCACCAGGUCAUCUGAAAGACAAAUUUUAGACGUCACUUUCUUUUGUGAUUUUGUUGCUUAACCCAGUGCAGGGGCAGUCAAAGCUGUAUCACCAUUGCAUUCACUGUCUAGGUAAAAAUGGGAAAAUUCAGUCAGUUAUACUAAUAUUCCUUACUACUUGCAAUUUAUGUUCACUGGCCUAUUGGUAUGAGCAAUGCAUUGUACAUUACAUAUUUGGCAGUAAAAGGACAGAUACCCAGAUGUCAUACUAAAAUUUCUGCAUUUGUUUGAAAAUACUAGUUUAAGCAAUUACAUGUUAUGCAAGUGGUUAGUCCUUCCCUCUCCAGCUUGGCUGCCACCAGUAAUAAUGGAUCAUAACAUCUUCUCCUGUGUGAUCUGAUGCGGCCUUGGGAUUCGUCCCAACGCAGGACUCCAGAGAUCAGUGGAUCAGUGAAUUAUGUUUGGGAGAUGCAACCCCUGUUGUUACUGGGCUGGGGGCCCAAGCAGCUGCUGGUGGGGUGUUCUGCCCUGCAGCAGCACCCUACCUCCACCCUCCCCUUUACAUUUAGAAGAACUGUCCUUUAGUGAGACUGUCAAUGGAAAACAUGAAAAUCAUUCAUUUAAUCCAACAUUUUCAAUCGCAGAGGAAAAACAAGCAGAAGAGUUAAGUCACCAGAGUCAUACAGCUGGUAGGAAAAAUGGGUUCUCUAAAUCUCAGUUUAAACAGAAAUCCUUGUCACACUCUUCUGGGGAUUGAGAAGCGUAAGAUUUUUUUUUUUUUUUUUAAUUGCCUUUCUGAAACUUUAGAAGAAUACCUAUUUGCCCUGUUGGCCAAAACCAGGCAACUGUGUGAAACAGUUGAAUGCUAAAACAAACUAAACAGAUGCUGGAAACUCAACCGUUUGUUUCUUGAACAAAAUUGAUUUUACCUGAUGUCCUCUUGAGCUCAGUUAGACUUUGCCAGAGAGAAAA
Long non-coding RNA from Homo sapiens (human), 1511 nucleotides. Ensembl annotates it as PDK4 antisense RNA 1. Its record names the gene PDK4-AS1. The record is from Ensembl. NCBI's taxonomy places the organism in Eukaryota, Metazoa, Chordata, Mammalia, Primates, Hominidae.